AUUGAACGCUGGCGGCAGGCCUAACACAUGCAAGUCGAACGGUAACAGGAAGCAGCUUGCUGCUUCGCUGACGAGUGGCGGACGGGUGAGUAAUGUCUGGGAAACUGCCUGAUGGAGGGGGAUAACUACUGGAAACGGUAGCUAAUACCGCAUAACGUCGCAAGACCAAAGAGGGGACCUUAGGGCCUCUUGCCAUCGGAUGUGCCCAGAUGGGAUUAGCUAGUAGGUGGGGUAACGGCUCACCUAGGCGACGAUCCCUAGCUGGUCUGAGAGGAUGACCAGCCACACUGGAACUGAGACACGGUCCAGACUCCUACGGGAGGCAGCAGUGGGGAAUAUUGCACAAUGGGCGCAAACCUGAUGCAGCCAUGCCGCGUGUAUGAAGAAGGCCUUCGGGUUGUAAAGUACUUUCAGCGGGGAGGAAGGGAGUAAAGUUAAUACCUUUGCUCAUUGACGUUACCCGCAGAAGAAGCACCGGCUAACUCCGUG
RNAcentral lists this ribosomal RNA (489 nucleotides) under uncultured bacterium. Its description in RNAcentral is "partial 16S ribosomal RNA". It matches the Rfam family "Bacterial small subunit ribosomal RNA", at positions 30 to 507 of the family's 1533-position model. The record is from RNAcentral.